Long non-coding RNA from Chenopodium quinoa (quinoa), 1032 nucleotides. RefSeq lists it as uncharacterized. The record is from RefSeq and is a predicted model, not a curated record. The transcript has 3 exons. Lineage: Eukaryota; Viridiplantae; Streptophyta; Magnoliopsida; Caryophyllales; Amaranthaceae.
AGCCCGUUCUUAUAGACUUAUAGUUAUAACUAGGGUUCUUACUUUCACUCUUCUCAAGCCGUCAUGCUCCUCUAUCAUUUCACUCUAUCUCCCUCUUCUCCUCACUCAAUCUCCUCUAUUUUUUUCAUCUCUAUGUGGAUAUACGAACAACGGAACAAGCAUAAGAUAGUGCCCUAACUUCUACGACUGAAGAUGCUUCGAUGGUGGUUCCGGGUCCUGUUGGUGAAUUACUCGCGAAGAUUCGGUAGAUUCAGAAUGCAAAAUGUGUCGAGAUUCAAAAUUCUAUCUUUGAAGCUUGCAGCCGUCUCUCUCUUCUCUCUCCUCGGUUCUCUUUUGUGUUCUCUCUCCUCCGUGGUUAUCUUCUCUAUUCUUUGUCCUCGAAAAUCACUAUAAUCAUGGAGAUUCAGAUGAGCAAGAAGCGAAAGUUCAUCGCUGAUGGUGUAAUCUGUCGACUUGAGAUCUUGGCUAUAGUUUGGAAUGAAGCAGAUCUGAGGUCUUGAAAGUACACAGAAGGCUUGUGCUGGGUCAUGCAUUAUUAUUAUGGAGUCUGCUCAUGGGAGUGGUGAGUUAGUUUGACCACCAUCUUCCUCUGUCAUGCAUAAUCUUCCUGGUUCGACCUCAGGGAAUAUCGAUGAGUCCGAGAGACCGGUCAAUACAGCUGCAGGAGAUAUGUUAUCUGCAACUGAUGCAGAUGAAAAACAAGGUUAGGAAGAGAAUGCUGACAAGAGAAUGCAGAUGCAACUGUUCUAAUGAUGUCAGAUUAAAUUUGCUGAGAAUUUAACAGGAAGUCAUAAGUGUAUAUAGGAGAGUAUAAAAAAACAAGUAGUAGUACAGUGUGUAAUACAAGAUUUGUCUAGCAUUUACAUGAUAUUUUACUACAGAUACGCAGGUGUUAUUAGUAUUGUUGUUUGUCAAGGAAUAAUAAGUCUUUUAGAAUGUAAUAAUUUGGGUGGUAAAUGGAAAGAAGAAUAGGGGGUAUUUGUAACUAGCACCUGAAAUGCUAGUUACAAAUGCCCCUAAUUUUUUGUCUUA